This 253-nucleotide ribosomal RNA is filed under the name uncultured bacterium. RNAcentral's name for it is "partial 16S ribosomal RNA". It matches the Rfam family "Bacterial small subunit ribosomal RNA", at positions 524 to 776 of the family's 1533-position model. The record is from RNAcentral.
UACGUAGGGUGCGAGCGUUGCCCGGAAUUAUUGGGCGUAAAGAGCUCGUAGGCGGUUUGUCGCGUCUGCUGUGAAAACCUAAGGCUCAACCUUGGGCUUGCAGUGGGUACGGGCAGACUAGAGUGCGGUAGGGGUGACUGGAAUUCCUGGUGUAGCGGUGGAAUGCGCAGAUAUCAGGAGGAACACCGAUGGCGAAGGCAGGUCUCUGGGCCGUAACUGACGCUGAGGAGCGAAAGCGUGGGGAGCGAACAGG